UGCAGUCGAGCGCAGGAUAUCGACGGAACCCUUCGGGGGGAAGUCGACGGAAUGAGCGGCGGACGGGUGAGUAACACGUAAAGAACCUGCCCUCAGGUCUGGGAUAACCACGAGAAAUCGGGGCUAAUACCGGAUGGGUCAUCGGACCGCAUGGUCCGAGGAUGAAAGGCGCUUCGGCGUCGCCUGGGGAUGGCUUUGCGGUGCAUUAGCUAGUUGGUGGGGUAAUGGCCCACCAAGGCGACGAUGCAUAGCCGACCUGAGAGGGUGAUCGGCCACACUGGGACUGAGACACGGCCCAGACUCCUACGGGAGGCAGCAGUAGGGAAUCUUCCACAAUGGACGAAAGUCUGAUGGAGCAACGCCGCGUGAACGAUGAAGGCCUUCGGGUCGUAAAGUUCUGUUGUAAGGGAAGAACAAGUGCCGCAGGCAAUGGCGGCACCUUGACGGUACCUUGCGAGAAAGCCACGGCUAACUACGUGCCAGCAGCCGCGGUAAUACGUAGGUGGCAAGCGUUGUCCGGAAUUAUUGGGCGUAAAGCGCGCGCAGGCGGCCUCUUAAGUCUGAUGUGAAAGCCCCCGGCUCAACCGGGGAGGGCCAUUGGAAACUGGGAGGCUUGAGUAUAGGAAAGAAGAGUGGAAUUCCACGUGUAGCGGUGAAAUGCG
Molecule: ribosomal RNA, 662 nt
Filed under: bacterium 38-L049393-122-001-F05
Lineage: Bacteria
Description: bacterial SSU rRNA
Rfam family: Bacterial small subunit ribosomal RNA
Source: RNAcentral